Physeter macrocephalus (sperm whale) is the source of this 1437-nucleotide long non-coding RNA. RefSeq lists it as uncharacterized. NCBI's taxonomy places the organism in Eukaryota, Metazoa, Chordata, Mammalia, Artiodactyla, Physeteridae. The record is from RefSeq and is a predicted model, not a curated record. The transcript has 4 exons.
UCGGCCUGCUCCGGAUCCGGCUCCGGUUUCUUGGGAGGCCGCGGCCACGCGGACCGAGGUGGUCCCGCCUUCCUCGGUGCAGCCGGGAUGCUUCGUGCAAGUGCCCGCAGCCUUGCAGCGCCCGCAGCUCCCCGCGGACCCAGAGGCGGACAGACGGGAGGGGAGGCUGGGCCGGGAGAACCCCGUUUCCCCCCGCUUUUUCAGCAGGGCAGAAAGUCCUGUGUUUGUGCCCACAACGGCUUUAGAAAAUGGCCUCAUCUAACCUUUCCAAAGAUGUUAUCCAAGCUGCAAAGUCUUGGCCAUUGGAAGACCUUUCAAGUCCCGAUACCAAAGAGCUUUAGUCUGGAUUAAAUGCAAAAUGCCAAAAUGUCACUUUAAAAGCAAGCACAAGGCUAAGUGCAACCUGACAUGUUUGUAAACCGUGCAAAACAGGCACUUCUGAGAGCCCCCCCCCCCCCGCCCGCCAAGGCACAUUUUGUGCAAAUGCUGUUUGCCCGGAGCAUCAGGAACCGAAAUUCCUGGGAACUCUUUUUCUGGCCAGCAACGGGGAAGUUUGGGCUCACAGAGCGGAUUGUUAAAUCUCUGAAGGAUUUAAGUCAGUGUGUGUCAUGGAAAAGCCAGAGUCCCUCCCAGCUCGAGGUGGCCCCGAAGAGGUGGACCAGGGGCCCCUCCUCUCUGCAUCCCGCUGCUAGAAGCCAGCACACCUUAGGUGCUCCAUAAUGAAACAAGGAUUCUGCCGAGAAGAGAUCCACUGCAAUGCACCUGGCUUUCUAGAAGCAAUAAAUGAAAGUAUCUUAUAGGAAAAAAAAAAAAAGAUUGAUGAAGUCGUGAGGGAGAGGCAGAGAACACAGCAUAAUCCAGCGGUUGGAGACUGGCUUCUGAAACUCCAGCAGGAGAUGCUUUAUCCCUUCCUGGCAGCUCUGCAGUGGCCAGCAAAUAAAUAUUUCCACAUGGAAGCCAAUGGUCCUUCAAAACGUAGCUUGUUCCAUUCGAGAGAUAUACAGCAGGGUCCCCAGCUUUAACGGCAAAGGGCAUUAGCCUUGCCUUUAGGAUUCGUGGAUGUAAACACUGAAUCCAACUCGCACCCCCCUUGAUGCUUCAGGGAACAACGGAGGGACCUCCGCGGACAAAUUACGCCUGCAUUUAAUGCUUUGAUUAUCUGAAGAACAAAAUCCAGCAGUAAUCUUGAGAAGAAGAAUUCACAUUUAAAGUUCGGAAAGUGACAGAGCAAAGAGUGAAGAGAAGCCCACAUUAAAAUGAGAUGGGAUGAGAAGAAGAAGAAAAGAAGGAAAUCCGUGAUCCUGGAGGAAAACCCUUUGAAUAGAACCAAGGCGGAGAUUGGAGGCGACGUCCGCCAGCUCCAAUUUCAGCGGGAGGACAGGCUGCCCCAGAGCCAGGCUUUGUGCCCCUGAAGCGGUGAGCCUUGAAAGACCUGAA